GAUGAGCGCUGGCGGCGUGCCUAAUACAUGCAAGUCGAGCGAACGGAUAAGGAGCUUGCUCCUUUGAAGUUAGCGGCGGACGGGUGAGUAACACGUGGGUAACCUACCUAUAAGACUGGAAUAACUUCGGGAAACCGGAGCUAAUGCCGGAUAACAUUUGGAACUGCAUGGUUCUAAAGUAAAAGAUGGUUUUGCUAUCACUUAUAGAUGGACCCGCGCCGUAUUAGCUAGUUGGUAAGGUAACGGCUUACCAAGGCAACGAUACGUAGCCGACCUGAGAGGGUGAUCGGCCACACUGGAGCUGAGACACGGUCCAGACUCCUACGGGAGGCAGCAGUAGGGAAUCUUCCGCAAUGGACGAAAGUCUGACGGAGCAACGCCGCGUGAGUGAUGAAGGUUUUCGGAUCGUAAAACUCUGUUAUUAGGGAAGAACAAAUGUGUAAGUAACUGUGCACAUCUUGACGGUACCUAAUCAGAAAGCCACGGCUAACUACGUGCCAGCAGCCGCCGUAA
Molecule: ribosomal RNA, 513 nt
Filed under: uncultured bacterium
Lineage: Bacteria
Description: partial 16S ribosomal RNA
Rfam family: Bacterial small subunit ribosomal RNA
Source: RNAcentral